CCCUUAGAUGUUCUGGGCCGCACACGCGCUACACUGAAGGAGGCAGCGUGUACUCCUGGAUCGAAAGAUUUGGGUAACCCGCGAAUCUCCUUCGUGCUAGGGAUUGAGGUUUGCAAUUAUCCUUCAUGAACGAGGAAUUCCUAGUAAACGCAAGUCAUCAGCUUGCAUUGAUUACGUCCCUGCCCUUUGUACACACCGCCCGUCGCACCUACCGAUUGAAUGGUCCGGUGAAAUCUCGGGACGGCGGCUUGGUCGCUUGCGUCCGACUGCUGAAACUUGAUUAAACCAUAUCAUUUAGAGGAAGGUGAAGUCGUAACA
RNAcentral lists this ribosomal RNA (318 nucleotides) under uncultured eukaryote. RNAcentral describes it as "partial 18S ribosomal RNA". It matches the Rfam family "Eukaryotic small subunit ribosomal RNA", at positions 1470 to 1796 of the family's 1831-position model. The record is from RNAcentral.